RNAcentral lists this transfer RNA (69 nucleotides) under Hordeum vulgare. RNAcentral describes it as "tRNA-OTHER". Lineage: Eukaryota; Viridiplantae; Streptophyta; Magnoliopsida; Poales; Poaceae. The record is from RNAcentral.
GCAGGUCUAGCCUAGUGGCAGCGCCACACAUUUCUACUCAGUAGACCAGGGUUCCAAUCCCUGGCUACA